GGUUCGAUUCUGGCUCAGAUUGAACGCUGGCGGGAUGCUUUACACAUGCAAGUCGAACGGCAGCACGGACUUCGGUCUGGUGGCGAGUGGCGAACGGGUGAGUACGUAUCAGAACGUGCCUAGUAGCGGGGAUAACUACGCGAAAGUUUUUGUAGCUAAUACCGCAUACGUACCUCCUUCGGGGAAAGCGGGGGACCUUCGGGCCUCGCACUAUUAGAGUGUCGAUAUCGAUUAGCUAGUUGGUGGGGUAACGGCUCACCAAGGCGACGAUCCGUAGCUGGCUUUGAGAGGACGACCAGCCAGACUGGGACGAGACGGCCCAGAUUCCGGCUGAGGCAGCAGUGUGGGGAAUUUUGGACAAUGGGGGAAACCCUGAUCCAGCCAUCCGUGCAUGAAGGCCUUCGGGUUGUAAAAGCACUUUUGGCAGGAAGAACGGCACGGGAUAAUACCCCGUGCAACUGACGGUACCUGCAGAAUAAGCACCGGCUAACUACGCCAGCAGCCGCGUACACGUAGGGUGGGCAACACCGGAAUUACUGGGCGUAAAGCGUGCGUGGCGUUCGGAAAGAAAGAUGUGAAAUCCCAGAGCUUAACUUUGAACCGUAUUUUUAACUACCGAGCUAGAGUGUGUCAGAGGGAGGUGGAAUUCCGCGUGUAGCAGUGAAUGCGUAGAUAUGAGGAACACCGAUGGCGAAGGCAGCCUGCAUAACACUGACGCUCAUGCACGAAAGCGGGAGCAAACAGGAUUAGAUACUCCUGGUAGUCCACGCCCUAAACGAUGUCAACUAGCUGUUAGCCUUCGGGCCUUUGUAGCAGCAGCUAACGCGUGAAGUUGACCGCCUGGGGAGUACGGUCGGAAACUCAAAGGAAUUGACGGGACCCGCACAAGCGGAUGAUGUGGAUUAAUUGAUGCAACGCGAAAACCCACUCUACCCUUGACAUGUCUUAACCUGAAGAGAUUUGGGAGUGCUCGCAAGAGAACCGGAACACAGGUGCUGCAUAGCUGUCGUCAGCUCGUGUCGUGAGAUGUUGGGUUAAGUCCCGCAACGAGCGCAACCCUUGUCAUUAUUGCUACGAAAGGGCACUCUAAUGAGACUGCCGGUGACAAACCGGAGGUGGAUGAUGUCAAGUCCUCAUGGCCCUUAUGGGUAGGGCUUCACACGUCAUGUACCGGUCGGGACAGAGGGUCGCCAACCCGCGAGGGGGAGCCAAUCCCAGAAACCCGAUCGUAGUCCGGAUCGCAGUCUGCAACUCGACUGCGGAAGUCGGAAUCGCUAGUAAUCGCGGAUCAGCAUGUCGCGGUGAAUACGCUGUUCCGGGUCUUGUACACACCGCCCGUCACACCAUGGGAGUGGGUUUUACCAGAAGUAGUUAGCUCAACCGUAAGGAGGGCGAUUACCACGGUAGGAUUCAGUGCGACUGGGGUGUCAACAAGGUAG
Molecule: ribosomal RNA, 1439 nt
Filed under: uncultured Bordetella sp.
Lineage: Bacteria; Pseudomonadati; Pseudomonadota; Betaproteobacteria; Burkholderiales; Alcaligenaceae
Description: partial 16S-23S ribosomal RNA intergenic spacer
Rfam family: Bacterial small subunit ribosomal RNA
Source: RNAcentral